ACUGGAGUUUGAUCCUGGCUCAGGAUGAACGCUAGCGGCAUGCCUAACACAUGCAAGUCGAACGAGACCUUCGGGUCUAGUGGCGCACGGGUGCGUAACGCGUGGGAACCUGCCUUAGGUUCGGAAUAACUCAGAGAAAUUUGAGUUAAUACCGGAUAAUGUCUUCGGACCAAAGAUUUAUCGCCUUUAGAUGGGCCCGCGUUGGAUUAGCUAGUUGGUGGGGUAAAGGCCUACCAAGGCGACGAUCCAUAGCUGGUCUGAGAGGAUGAUCAGCCACACUGGGACUGAGACCACGGCCCAGACUCCUACGGGGAGGCAGCAGUGGGGAAUAUUGGACAAUGGGCGAAAGCCUGAUCCAGCAAUGCCGCGUGAGUGAUGAAGGCCCUUAGGGUUGUAAAGCUCUUUUAACCCGAGAUGAUAAUGACAGUAUCGGGAGAAUAACGCUCCGGCUAACUCCGUGCCAGCAGCCGCGGU
Molecule: ribosomal RNA, 474 nt
Filed under: uncultured Erythrobacteraceae bacterium
Lineage: Bacteria; Pseudomonadati; Pseudomonadota; Alphaproteobacteria; Sphingomonadales; Erythrobacteraceae
Description: bacterial SSU rRNA
Rfam family: Bacterial small subunit ribosomal RNA
Source: RNAcentral